This 639-nucleotide ribosomal RNA is filed under the name uncultured beta proteobacterium. RNAcentral describes it as "bacterial SSU rRNA". It matches the Rfam family "Bacterial small subunit ribosomal RNA", at positions 58 to 693 of the family's 1533-position model. Lineage: Bacteria; Pseudomonadati; Pseudomonadota; Betaproteobacteria. The record is from RNAcentral.
CAAGUCGAACGGCAGCGCGGGAGCAAUCCUGGCGGCGAGUGGCGAACGGGUGAGUAAUACAUCGGAACGUGCCCAAUCGUGGGGGAUAACGCAGCGAAAGCUGUGCUAAUACCGCAUACGAUCUACGGAUGAAAGCAGGGGAUCGCAAGACCUUGCGCGAACGGAGCGGCCGAUGGCAGAUUAGGUAGUUGGUGAGGUAAAGGCUCACCAAGCCUUCGAUCUGUAGCUGGUCUGAGAGGACGACCAGCCACACUGGGACUGAGACACGGCCCAGACUCCUACGGGAGGCAGCAGUGGGGAAUUUUGGACAAUGGGCGAAAGCCUGAUCCAGCCAUGCCGCGUGCAGGAUGAAGGCCUUCGGGUUGUAAACUGCUUUUGUACGGAACGAAACGGCCUUUUCUAAUAAAGAGGGCUAAUGACGGUACCGUAGGAAUAAGCACCGGCUAACUACGUGCCAGCAGCCGCGGUAAUACGUAGGGUGCAAGCGUUAAUCGGAAUUACUGGGCGUAAAGCGUGCGCAGGCGGUUAUGUAAGACAGUUGUGAAAUCCCCGGGCUCAACCUGGGAACUGCAUCUGUGACUGCAUAGCUAGAGUACGGUAGAGGGGGAUGGAAUUCCGCGGUAGCAGUGAAAUGCGUAG